CGAACGCUGGCGGCGUGCUUAACACAUGCAAGUCGAACGAGAAAGUUUCUUCGGAAAUAAGUAAAGUGGCGCACGGGUGAGUAACGCGUAGAUAACCUGUCCAGGUGAUCGGGAUAGCCCUUCGAAAGGGGGAUUAAUACCGAAUACGUUGAUUGUUUGUAAGGACGAUCAAGAAAGGUGGCCUCUAUUUAUAAGCUAUCGCACAUGGAGGGGUCUGCGUACCAUUAGUUUGUUGGUGGGGUAAUGGCCUACCAAGACUACGAUGGUUAGCGGGUCUGAGAGGAUGAUCCGUCACACUGGCACUGAAACACGGGCCAGACUCCUACGGGAGGCAGCAGUGAGGAAUAUUGCGCAAUGGGGGAAACCCUGACGCAGCGACGCCGCGUGGGUGAGGAAGGCUUUCGGGUCGUAAAACCCUGUCAGAAGGGAAGAAAUGCUUAUAGGUUAAUAUCUUGUAAGUUUGACGGUACCUUCAAAGGAAGCACCGGCUAACUCC
Molecule: ribosomal RNA, 496 nt
Filed under: uncultured bacterium
Lineage: Bacteria
Description: bacterial SSU rRNA
Rfam family: Bacterial small subunit ribosomal RNA
Source: RNAcentral